GCCUUCGUGGUGUAGUGGUCAGCAUACUCGACGUGUAUUCGAGAGGUCUGCGGUUCGAUUCCCGGCAAAGGCA
This is a non-coding RNA of Stegodyphus mimosarum, 73 nucleotides long. The record is from Rfam. NCBI's taxonomy places the organism in Eukaryota, Metazoa, Arthropoda, Arachnida, Araneae, Eresidae.